UGGGGGAUAUUGCACAAUGGGCGCAAGCCUGAUGCAGCGACGCCGCGUGGAGGAAGAAGGUUUUCGGAUUGUAAACUCCUGUCUUCAGGGACGAUAAUGACGGUACCUGAGGAGGAAGCCACGGCUAACUACGUGCCAGCAGCCGCGGUAAUACGUAGGUGGCAAGCGUUGUCCGGAAUUACUGGGUGUAAAGGGAGCGUAGGCGGGACUGCAAGUCCAGUGUGAAAUCUAUCGGCUCAACUGAUAGCUGCGCUGGAAACUGUGGUUCUUGAGUGAAGUAGAGGCAGGCGGAAUUCCUAGUGUAGCGGUGGAAUGCGUAGAUAUUAGGAGGAACACCAGUGGCGAAGGCGGCCUGCUGGACUUUUACUGACGCUGAGGCUCGAAAGUGUGGGUAGCAAACAGGAUUAGAUACC
RNAcentral lists this ribosomal RNA (413 nucleotides) under uncultured bacterium. RNAcentral describes it as "bacterial SSU rRNA". It matches the Rfam family "Bacterial small subunit ribosomal RNA", at positions 355 to 786 of the family's 1533-position model. The record is from RNAcentral.